GAUGAACGCUGGCGGCGUGCCUAAUACAUGCAAGUCGAGCGAACGGACGAGAAGCUUGCUUCUCUGAUGUUAGCGGCGGACGGGUGAGUAACACGUGGAUAACCUACCUAUAAGACUGGGAUAACUUCGGGAAACCGGAGCUAAUACCGGAUAAUAUCUUGAACCGCAUGGUUCAAAAGUGAAAGACGGUCUUGCUGUCACUUAUAGAUGGAUCCGCGCUGCAUUAGCUAGUUGGUAAGGUAACGGCUUACCAAGGCAACGAUGCAUAGCCGACCUGAGAGGGUGAUCGGCCACACUGGAACUGAGACACGGUCCAGACUCCUACGGGAGGCAGCAGUAGGGAAUCUUCCGCACUGGCCGAAAGCCUGACGGAGCAACGCCGCGUGAGUGAUGAAGGUCUUCGGAUCGUAAAACUCUGUUAUUAGGGAAGAACAAAUGUGUCAGUAACUAUGCACAUCUUGACGGUACCUAAUCAGAAAGCCACGGCUAACUACGUG
This 497-nucleotide ribosomal RNA is filed under the name uncultured bacterium. RNAcentral's name for it is "partial 16S ribosomal RNA". It matches the Rfam family "Bacterial small subunit ribosomal RNA", at positions 28 to 507 of the family's 1533-position model. The record is from RNAcentral.